This 1059-nucleotide ribosomal RNA is filed under the name uncultured Cryobacterium sp. RNAcentral describes it as "bacterial SSU rRNA". It matches the Rfam family "Bacterial small subunit ribosomal RNA", at positions 337 to 1394 of the family's 1533-position model. Lineage: Bacteria; Bacillati; Actinomycetota; Actinomycetes; Micrococcales; Microbacteriaceae. The record is from RNAcentral.
UCCUACGGGAGGCAGCAGUGGGGAAUAUUGCACAAUGGGCGCAAGCCUGAUGCAGCAACGCCGCGUGAGGGACGAAGGCCUUCGGGUUGUAAACCUCUUUUAGUAGGGAAGAAGCGACUGGGUUUUCCUGGGAGUGACGGUACCUGCAGAAAAAGCACCGGCUAACUACGUGCCAGCAGCCGCGGUAAUACGUAGGGUGCAAGCGUUGUCCGGAAUUAUUGGGCGUAAAGAGCUCGUAGGCGGUUUGUCGCGUCUGCUGUGAAAACCCGAGGCUCAACCUCGGGCCUGCAGUGGGUACGGGCGGACUAGAGUGCGGUAGGGGAGAUUGGAAUUCCUGGUGUAGCGGUGGAAUGCGCAGAUAUCAGGAGGAACACCAAUGGUGAAGGCAGAUCUCUGGGCCGUAACUGACGCUGAGGAGCGAAAGCAUGGGGAGCGAACAGGAUUAGAUACCCUGGUAGUCCAUGCCGUAAACGUUGGGAACUAGAUGUGGGGACCAUUCCACGGUCUCCGUGUCGCAGCUAACGCAUUAAGUUCCCCGCCUGGGGAGUACGGCCGCAAGGCUAAAACUCAAAGGAAUUGACGGGGGCCCGCACAAGCGGCGGAGCAUGCGGAUUAAUUCGAUGCAACGCGAAGAACCUUACCAAGGCUUGACAUAUACCGGAAACGGCUGGAAACAGUCGCCCCGCAAGGUCGGUAUACAGGUGGUGCAUGGUUGUCGUCAGCUCGUGUCGUGAGAUGUUGGGUUAAGUCCCGCAACGAGCGCAACCCUCGUCCUAUGUUGCCAGCACGUAAUGGUGGGAACUCAUGGGAUACUGCCGGGGUCAACUCGGAGGAAGGUGGGGAUGACGUCAAAUCAUCAUGCCCCUUAUGUCUUGGGCUUCACGCAUGCUACAAUGGCCGGUACAAAGGGCUGCGAUACCGCAAGGUGGAGCGAAUCCCAAAAAGCCGGUCUCAGUUCGGAUUGAGGUCUGCAACUCGACCUCAUGAAGUCGGAGUCGCUAGUAAUCGCAGAUCAGCAACGCUGCGGUGAAUACGUUCCCGGGCCUUGUACACACCGCC